This 253-nucleotide ribosomal RNA is filed under the name uncultured bacterium. Its description in RNAcentral is "partial 16S ribosomal RNA". It matches the Rfam family "Bacterial small subunit ribosomal RNA", at positions 524 to 776 of the family's 1533-position model. The record is from RNAcentral.
UACGUAGGGGGCAAGCGUUAUCCGGAUUUACUGGGUGUAGAGGGAGCGUAGACGGCAGCGCAAGUCUGGAGUGAAAUGCCGGGGCCCAACCCCGGAACUGCUUUGGAAACUGUGCGGCUCGAGUGCGGGAGAGGUAGGCGGAAUUCCUAGUGUAGCGGUGAAAUGCGUAGAUAUUAGGAGGAACACCAGUGGCGAAGGCGGCUUACUGGACCGUAACUGACGUUGAGGCUCGAAAGCGUGGGGAGCAAACAGG